This 484-nucleotide ribosomal RNA is filed under the name uncultured bacterium. RNAcentral describes it as "partial 16S ribosomal RNA". It matches the Rfam family "Bacterial small subunit ribosomal RNA", at positions 30 to 507 of the family's 1533-position model. The record is from RNAcentral.
AUUGAACGCUGGCGGCAGGCCUAACACAUGCAAGUCGAGCGGAUGAAGGGAGCUUGCUCCUGGAUUCAGCGGCGGACGGGUGAGUAAUGCCUAGGAAUCUGCCUGGUAGUGCGGGAUAACGUCCGGAAACGGGCGCUAAUACCGCAUACGUCCUGAGGGAGAAAGUGGGGGAUCUUCGGACCUCACGCUAUCAGAUGAGCCUAAGUCGGAUUAGCUAGUUGGUGGGGUAAAGGCCUACCAAGGCGACGAUCCGUAACUGGUCUGAGAGGAUGAUCAGUCACACUGGAACUGAGACACGGUCCAGACUCCUAAGGGAGGCAGCAGUCGGGAAUAUUGGACAAUGGGCGAAAGCCUGAUCCAGCCAUGCCGCGUGUGUGAAGAAGGUCUUCGGAUUGUAAAGCACUUUAAGUUGGGAGGAAGGGCAGUAAGUUGAUACCUUGCUGUUUUGACGUUACCAACAGAAUAAGCACCGGCUAACUUCGUG